RNAcentral lists this ribosomal RNA (371 nucleotides) under Vairimorpha ceranae. RNAcentral describes it as "Nosema ceranae partial small subunit ribosomal RNA". It matches the Rfam family "Microsporidia small subunit ribosomal RNA", at positions 29 to 398 of the family's 1311-position model. The record is from RNAcentral. Lineage: Eukaryota; Fungi; Microsporidia; Nosematidae.
GCUAUUCCCUAAGAUUAACCCAUGCAUGUUUCUGACAUUUGAAAAAUGGACUGCUCAGUAAUACUCACUUUAUUUUAUGUAAAUUUUUAAUUAACUACGUUAAAGUGUAGAUAAGAUGUUUACAGUAAGAGUGAGACCUAUCAGCUAGUUGUUAAGGUAAUGGCUUAACAAGGCUGUGACGGGUAACGGUAUUACUUUGUAAUAUUCCGGAGAAGGAGCCUGAGAGACGGCUACUAAGUCUAAGGAUUGCAGCAGGGGCGAAACUUGACCUAUGGAUUUUAUCUGAGGCAGUUAUGGGAAGUAAUAUUAUAUUGUUUCAUAUUUUAAAAGUAUAUGAGGUGAUUAAUUGGAGGGCAAAUCAAGUGCCAGCA